This is a long non-coding RNA of Dermacentor andersoni, 543 nucleotides long. RefSeq lists it as uncharacterized. The record is from RefSeq and is a predicted model, not a curated record. NCBI's taxonomy places the organism in Eukaryota, Metazoa, Arthropoda, Arachnida, Ixodida, Ixodidae.
GACGCCGCCGCUGACCCCUUUCGUGCAGGCGCGCACUUUCCCGAUGCUGCUCACAUCCCCCCGUCCUUUCUGAUCGCAUCAAACCUUAGUGCGCGCCGUUACACUGAUUUCGUUCCCGAAACAUUGUCCUGGCGUGGGAGCGUCGCCCUCAUUCAGAAGUGAACACCGCUUCGCUCCGACGAAGCUUUAUUCUAGAGGCAUGCAUUUCUUCUGAGAGAGUUCUCCGGGCGACGUUUUAUUUCACGGCUCCCCCGUCUGUGUGCCGGCGAGAAAAGAUGGUUUGACAAAAAGCGAGCUCUCGUGGGCCCAAGAAAGCCCUGGGAGUCGAUGGCAUGCCGAGUGGAGUGCGGGUCGCUGGGCCCGACGUUCACCAAGGAAGAGUGGGACGCGCUCCUGCGAAGUCCUGUCUUUGAGGAUCAAAUGCUGGCCGUCCAGCGCGCCCGCGAUCGGGCCGGCAGACGAGAUCUGUCAGUCCCGUCGUGGGAUUAGCCGGGUGCGCGUUUUAUCGCGCUUUGCUGGACCAAAUAAAAGUUUAUUCACUCA